UCAAAACUGCUGCUGUGUUUUUUUUGUCCAUAGGCUGGACACGAUAAUGGAAGAAGUCUCAACGGUUUAAAAAGUGAAGCCCAGGAACUAUAGUAGAAGCCACCAGGGGGCAGCUCUACUGGUUGCAAAACAAAUUUGUGACUUACAAAAGAGGAAUAAGCUACAUAGAAGUCGUCUUGGAAAGAAAUCCACUAGAUGGGAACAGUGGACUGAUAAAGGAUGAGAGUGCCAAGGUGAAUCCAAGUGCAGGGGAGGGUGUAGGGUGCUGUUUUGCCUCGAUGGCAUCGAAAUGGAAAUAGGAGUGGUGUUUGAUGCAGAGCACGAGAUAAGCAGAAGGCUUGAUGAAUGCAGCGGUGGAGCGUUUCAAGGUUGCACUCUGAAUGGUUUAUGAAAAUAUUAGAAAACAAUCCACUUCCACCGUAUCUGUGUUUAUCCCAUUUACACAUUUAAUCGUCCAAUUCUGAUUCACCUCACGUUCCUCUGUGCAGAGUUCAAAUUAUACAACCUAAUAAAAGCUCAUCAGACCGCCUGAAGUAAUUGCUGUGUGGUCCAGCAGAGGGCGCUGUGAGCACAGCUUGGUCUUAGAUGCAGCGAUGUUUUGAUGUCCAGAUGGUAGAUCAUGUUACCAGUACGAGAAGCACGGAGCCAAGUUAGGGUCAUGGUGGGGAAUAUUUUUUUUUUACCAAAUGACUCACAGACUGGUACUGGUACUGGUGGCCUGGUGGUUGUGGACCUCUGAUCUAAACAACUGUUUUAAAGAGAGAAGGAAGUAAAAGAUGCAGAUAUUUAAAUGACUCCACCACCUGUA
Molecule: long non-coding RNA, 808 nt
Organism: Solea solea (common sole)
Lineage: Eukaryota; Metazoa; Chordata; Actinopteri; Pleuronectiformes; Soleidae
Exons: 3
Source: RefSeq, a predicted model, not a curated record